AGAGUUUGAUCCUGGCUCAGCCUGAACGCUGGCAGCGUGGUUAAGACAUGCAAGUCGCACGAAGGCAGCAAUGCUUUAGUGGCGCACGGGUGAGUAAUGUAUCGCUAACGUACCUUGGACACUGGGAUAGCCGCCCGAAAGGACGGGUAAUACCAGAUGACAUCACGAGGCCUCCUGGUCUUGUGCUCAAAGGUCCGCCGGUCUGGGAGCGGGCGAUAUCGUAUCAGCUAGUUGGUGAGGUAACGGCCCACCAAGGCGACGACGCGUAGCCGGUCUGAGAGGACGGUCGGCCACAUCGGGACUGAGACACUGCCCGGACUCCUACGGGGGGCUGCAGUAACGAAUCUUCCCCAAUGCACGAAAGUGUGAGGGAGCGACGCUGCGUGGAGGAUGAAGUCCUUCGGGAUGUAAACUCCUGUCAGGGGUUACCAAGUUCUGAGGAGCCCCAGAGGAAGAGGCGGCUAACUCUGUGCCAGCAGCCGCGGUAAGACAGAGGCCUCGAGCGUUAGGCGGAAUCACUGGGCUUAAAGCGUGUGUAGGCGGAUCGUUAAGUGCCUUGUGAAAUCCCACGGCUCAACCGUGGAACUGCUGGGCAUACUGGCGAUCUUGAGCUAUCUAGGGGCGACUGGAACAGACGGUGGAGCGGUGAAAUGCGUAGAUAUCGUCUGGAACGCCAAAGGUGAAAACAGGUCGCUGGGGAUAUGCUGACGCUGAGACACGAAAGCCAGGGGAGCAAACGGGAUUAGAUACCCCGGUAGUCCUGGCCCUAAACGAUGUCCACUAGAUCGCAGCGUCACUGACGGCGUUGUGGUCGAAGCAAAGUGAUAAGUGGACCGCCUGGGAAGUACGGUCGCAAGGCUAAAACUCAAAGGAAUUGACGGGGGCUCACACAAGCGGUGGAGCAUGUGGUUCAAUUCGAAGCAACGCGCA
Molecule: ribosomal RNA, 930 nt
Filed under: uncultured bacterium
Lineage: Bacteria
Description: bacterial SSU rRNA
Rfam family: Bacterial small subunit ribosomal RNA
Source: RNAcentral